This 450-nucleotide ribosomal RNA is filed under the name uncultured bacterium. RNAcentral describes it as "bacterial SSU rRNA". It matches the Rfam family "Bacterial small subunit ribosomal RNA", at positions 354 to 796 of the family's 1533-position model. The record is from RNAcentral.
GUGGGGAAUUUUGGACAAUGGGGGCAACCCUGAUCCAGCCAUGCCGCGUGCAGGAAGAAGGCCUUCGGGUUGUAAACUGCUUUUGUCAGGAACGAAACGGAAACGGGUAACAUACGUUUCUAAUGACGGUACCUGAAGAAUAAGCACCGGCUAACUACGUGCCAGCAGCCGCGGUAAUACGUAGGGUGCGAGCGUUAAUCGGAAUUACUGGGCGUAAAGCGUGCGCAGGCGGCUUUGUAAGACAGAUGUGAAAUCCCUGAGCUUAACUUAGGAACUGCAUUUGUGACUGCAAGGCUAGAGUAUGUCAGAGGGAGGUGGAAUUCCAAGUGUAGCAGUGAAAUGCGUAGAUAUUUGGAAGAACACCGAUGGCGAAGGCAGCCUCCUGGGAUAAUACUGACGCUCAUGCACGAAAGCGUGGGGAGCAAACAGGAUUAGAAACCCCUGUAGUCC